UAUUUUUUACACAUUUUGGAGCUUUAAAUUCUAUAAUCAAAGGGAACUUCAAAUUCUGUAAUGAAAGGGAAAAAUAAACUUUGAAGCUGUUAGAAGGAUUUUUGGCAUUAGAAUUGCAUUCAAGAUGGUAUUUUAAAGUGCCGCUUUACCAAAUAUCGGUCAAGUUUGUAUAUAAUGAGAACAUUUAUCUUAUUUUACAAAAAGGUCACAAUUACUUCUAGCCAUUAGAUAUCGAAUUGGAUGACUUGCGGUGUGUUACAGAAGUCGAUAAAUUUUUUUUUAACUAUGAUUGUAGUCAAUGACUCACUCAUAACCAAUAAGGACAAAAAAGAUUGUGACCUCUCGUGUUAAAAAUAAAUGGUCUAUUUGUAGUAUACAUUUCAAUAUGAUAAAUCACCAUCUAUACCCAAAAAAAAAAAAUGCACCCUUCAAUUGCCCGACUAAUUAGGCUUUUCUUUUCUUGUUUUAUGGCGUACUGCACGCAUUUUCGUGAGGGAAUUUAUUAUUACAUCUUUCAAAUUUCAGGUGCCAAAUCUUCUUGAAAUUCAACGGUUACAUCAUUUUCAUCUGUUUUUGGUACACUGAAUUUUCAAUCAUGGAGUUAGGCCUAAUUUAGUACAUGGUAUGACAUAUGGGGGUUUUCCCCCAAGUUUUCAGCUAUUCCAUAAAAUUUGUGGUUGUUUUGGUGAUAGAUUUCCUCUUUCAAUUUGACCAUGAGGGCACUCUAAGUCCCACGGCAUGAACACAGAAGGGAUUGUAUAUUUUUUGGCAUAAGGUCAUUGUCACUUUUAGCUA
This 795-nucleotide long non-coding RNA is filed under the name Amborella trichopoda. Its description in RNAcentral is "long non-coding RNA (ATRI_LNC003811)". The record is from RNAcentral. Lineage: Eukaryota; Viridiplantae; Streptophyta; Magnoliopsida; Amborellales; Amborellaceae.